RNAcentral lists this unclassified non-coding RNA (233 nucleotides) under Geosmithia sp. RNAcentral describes it as "partial internal transcribed spacer region". The stretch from base 1 to 46 matches the Rfam family "Eukaryotic small subunit ribosomal RNA", at positions 1786 to 1831 of the family's 1831-position model. Lineage: Eukaryota; Fungi; Ascomycota; Sordariomycetes; Hypocreales; Bionectriaceae. The record is from RNAcentral.
AAGUCGUAACAAGGUCUCCGUUGGUGAACCAGCGGAGGGAUCAUUACUGAGUUACAAACUCCAAACCAUUGUGAACCUAUACCAUGUUGCUUCGGCGUGCCGUCCCGGGCGCGGCUCCGGCCGUGACCCGGACCCAGGCGGCCGCCGGGGACCUAAACCUCUGUUUUUCUAGUGGACUUCUGAGUGGCAUAAGCAAAUAAUCAAAACUUUCAGCAACGGAUCUCUUGGCUCUG